Long non-coding RNA from Acanthochromis polyacanthus (spiny chromis), 4036 nucleotides. RefSeq lists it as uncharacterized. The transcript has 11 exons. Lineage: Eukaryota; Metazoa; Chordata; Actinopteri; Pomacentridae. The record is from RefSeq and is a predicted model, not a curated record.
ACCGCUUCUAAAAACCACACGCAUGGGAGGUGACUACAGGUCAUCAUAGGUCACUACAGGUAAGUAGAGGUCACUACAGGUAAGUAGAGGUCACUACAGGUAAGUAGAGGACACUACAGGUAAGUAGAGGACACUACAGGUCAUUAGAGGUCACUACAGGUAAGUAGAGGACACUACAGGUCAUUAGAGGUCACUACAGGUAAGUAGAGGACACUACAGGUAAGUAGAGGACACUACAGGUCAUUAGAGGACACUACAGGUCAUUAGAGGUCACUACAGGUAAGUAGAGGACACUACAGGUAAGUAGAGGACACUACAGGUCAUUAGAGGUCACUACAGGUAAGUAGAGGACACUACAGGUCAUUAGAGGUCACUACAGGUCAUUAGAGGACACUACAGGUCAUUAGAGGUCACUACAGGUAAGUAGAGGUCACUACAGGUAAGUAGAGGACACUCCAGGUCAUUAGAGGUCACUACAGGUAAGUAGAGGACACUAGAGGUCAUUAGAGGUCACUACAGGUCAUUAGAGGUCACUACAGGUAAGUAGAGGUCACUACAGGUAAGUAGAGGACACUACAGGUCAUUAGAGGUCACUACAGGUAAGUAGAGGACACUAGAGGUCAUUAGAGGUCACUACAGGUCAUUAGAGGUCACUACAGGUAAGUAGAGGACACUACAGGUAAGUAGAGGACACUACAGGUCAUUAGAGGUCACUACAGGUAAGUAGAGGACACUACAGGUAAGUAGAGGACACUACAGGUAAGUAGAGGUCACUACAGGUAAGUAGAGGACACUACAGGUCAUUAGAGGUCACUACAGGUAAGUAGAGGACACUACAGGUUAUUAGAGGUCACUACAGGUAAGUAGAGGACACUACAGGUCAGUAGAGGACACUACAGGUCAUUAGAGGUCACUACAGGUAAGUAGAGGACACUACAGGUCAUUAGAGGUCACUACAGGUCAUUAGAGGUCACUACAGGUAAGUAGAGGACACUACAGGUAAGUAGAGGACACUACAGGUCAUUAGAGGUCACUACAGGUAAGUAGAGGUCACUACAGGUAAGUAGAGGACACUAGAGGUCAUUAGAGGUCACUACAGGUCAUUAGAGGUCACUACAGGUAAGUAGAGGACACUACAGGUAAGUAGAGGACACUACAGGUCAUUAGAGGACACUACAGGUCAUUAGAGGACACUACAGGUCAUUAGAGGUCACUACAGGUCAUUAGAGGUCACUACAGGUAAGUAGAGGACACUACAGGUAAGUAGAGGACACUACAGGUCAUUAGAGGACACUACAGGUCAUUAGAGGUCACUACAGGUAAGUAGAGGACACUACAGGUAAGUAGAGGACACUACAGGUCAUUAGAGGUCACUACAGGUAAGUAGAGGACACUACAGGUCAUUAGAGGUCACUACAGGUAAGUAGAGGUCACUACAGGUCAUUAGAGGUCACUACAGGUCAUUAGAGGUCACUACAGGUCAUUAGAGGUCACUACAGGUCAUUAGAGGACACUACAGGUCAUUAGAGGUCACUACAGGUCAUUAGAGGUCACUACAGGUAAGUAGAGGACACUACAGGUCAGUAGAGGACACUACAGGUCAUUAGAGGUCACUACAGGUCAUUAGAGGUCACUACAGGUAAGUAGAGGACACUACAGGUAAGUAGAGGACACUACAGGUCAUUAGAGGUCACUACAGGUCAUUAGAGGUCACUACAGGUAAGUAGAGGUCACUACAGGUAAGUAGAGGACACUACAGGUCAUUAGAGGUCACUACAGGUAAGUAGAGGUCACUACAGGUCAUUAGAGGUCACUACAGGUCAUUAGAGGUCACUACAGGUAAGUAGAGGACACUACAGGUCAUUAGAGGUCACUACAGGUCAUUAGAGGACACUACAGGUCAUUAGAGGACACUACAGGUAAGUAGCGGUCACUACAGGUAAGUAGAGGUCACUACAGGUAAGUAGAGGACACUACAGGUAAGUAGAGGACACUACAGGUAAGUAGAGGUCACUACAGGUAAGUAGAGGUCACUACAGGUAAGUAGAGGACACUACAGGUAAGUAGAGGUCACUACAGGUAAGUAGAGGACACUACAGGUAAGUAGAGGUCACUACAGGUCAUUAGAGGUCACUACAGGUAAGUAGAGGACACUACAGGUCAUUAGAGGUCACUACAGGUAAGUAGAGGACACUACAGGUCAUUAGAGGUCACUACAGGUAAGUAGAGGACACUACAGGUCAUUAGAGGUCACUACAGGUCAUUAGAGGUCACUACAGGUAAGUAGAGGUCACUACAGGUCAUUAGAGGUCACUACAGGUAAGUAGAGGACACUACAGGUAAGUAGAGGACACUACAGGUCAUUAGAGGUCACUACAGGUCAUUAGAGGACACUACAGGUCAUUAGAGGUCACUACAGGUCAUUAGAGGACACUACAGGUAAGUAGAGGACACUACAGGUCAUUAGAGGUCACUACAGGUCAUUAGAGGACACUACAGGUCAUUAGAGGACACUACAGGUAAGUAGCGGUCACUACAGGUAAGUAGAGGUCACUACAGGUAAGUAGAGGACACUACAGGUAAGUAGAGGUCACUACAGGUCAUUAGAGGUCACUACAGGUAAGUAGAGGUCACUACAGGUAAGUAGAGGACACUACAGGUAAGUAGCGGUCACUACAGGUAAGUAGAGGACACUACAGGUCAUUAGAGGUCACUACAGGUAAGUAGAGGACACUAGAGAUCAUUAGAGGUCACUACAGGUCAUUAGAGGUCACUACAGGUCAUUAGAGGUCACUACAGGUCAUUAGAGGUCACUACAGGUCAUUAGAGGACACUACAGGUCAUUAGAGGUCACUACAGGUCAUUAGAGGUCACUACAGGUAAGUAGAGGACACUACAGGUCAGUAGAGGACACUACAGGUCAUUAGAGGUCACUACAGGUCAUUAGAGGUCACUACAGGUAAGUAGAGGACACUACAGGUAAGUAGAGGACACUACAGGUCAUUAGAGGUCACUACAGGUCAUUAGAGGUCACUACAGGUAAGUAGAGGUCACUACAGGUAAGUAGAGGACACUACAGGUAAGUAGAGGACACUACAGGUCAUUAGAGGUCACUACAGGUAAGUAGAGGUCACUACAGGUCAUUAGAGGUCACUACAGGUCAUUAGAGGUCACUACAGGUAAGUAGAGGACACUACAGGUCAUUAGAGGUCACUACAGGUCAUUAGAGGACACUACAGGUCAUUAGAGGACACUACAGGUAAGUAGCGGUCACUACAGGUAAGUAGAGGUCACUACAGGUAAGUAGAGGACACUACAGGUAAGUAGAGGACACUACAGGUAAGUAGAGGUCACUACAGGUAAGUAGAGGUCACUACAGGUAAGUAGAGGACACUACAGGUAAGUAGAGGUCACUACAGGUAAGUAGAGGACACUACAGGUAAGUAGAGGUCACUACAGGUCAUUAGAGGUCACUACAGGUAAGUAGAGGACACUACAGGUCAUUAGAGGUCACUACAGGUAAGUAGAGGACACUACAGGUCAUUAGAGGUCACUACAGGUAAGUAGAGGACACUACAGGUCAUUAGAGGUCACUACAGGUCAUUAGAGGUCACUACAGGUAAGUAGAGGUCACUACAGGUCAUUAGAGGUCACUACAGGUAAGUAGAGGACACUACAGGUAAGUAGAGGACACUACAGGUCAUUAGAGGUCACUACAGGUCAUUAGAGGACACUACAGGUCAUUAGAGGUCACUACAGGUCAUUAGAGGACACUACAGGUAAGUAGAGGACACUACAGGUCAUUAGAGGUCACUACAGGUCAUUAGAGGACACUACAGGUCAUUAGAGGACACUACAGGUAAGUAGCGGUCACUACAGGUAAGUAGAGGUCACUACAGGUAAGUAGAGGACACUACAGGUAAGUAGAGGUCACUACAGGUCAUUAGAGGUCACUACAGGUCAUUAGAGGUCACUACAGGUAAGUAGAGGUCACUACAGGUAACUAGAGGUCACAGUGCUUUCAGCUUCAGUCCAG